Molecule: ribosomal RNA, 253 nt
Filed under: uncultured bacterium
Lineage: Bacteria
Description: partial 16S ribosomal RNA
Rfam family: Bacterial small subunit ribosomal RNA
Source: RNAcentral
GACGAACCGUGCGAACGUUGUUCGGAAUCACUGGGCUUAAAGGGCGCGUAGGCGGGCCGAAAAGUCAGGGGUGAAAUCCUCCAGCUUAACUGGAGAACUGCCUUUGAUACUGGCGGUCUGGAGUAAGGUAGGGGCAUGCGGAACUGAUGGUGGAGCGGUGAAAUGUGUUGAUAUCAUCAGGAACUCCGGUAGCGAAAGCGGCGUGCUGGACCUUUACUGACGCUGAGGCGCGAAAGCCAGGGGAGCAAACGGG